GGCGGACAGGGAGGAGCUGCCUGAACAUCAUGCAGCGGGCCUUGGAACAUCGGCAGAAAGGCAGGGUCCAGCGCCUUGUGAGGAGGCUGCUCCGCUGUGGUCACAGGGAACCUUACCCGCAGGACUUCCUGAGCUGCAUGCCAGAACAUCCGCAGUAGCGCCAGGCCAAGGCAACGUGAACAUCAGAGUUGUGCUGCAGAGAUACCAUCUUCUGCUCUCCACGGGAUCCAGUCUAGACCA
Molecule: long non-coding RNA, 240 nt
Organism: Lacerta agilis (Sand lizard)
Lineage: Eukaryota; Metazoa; Chordata; Lepidosauria; Squamata; Lacertidae
Exons: 2
Source: RefSeq, a predicted model, not a curated record